UGGUGCCGAUGCGCUUAGGGGAAACACCCGUUCCCAUCCCGAACACGACGGUUAAGACCUAAGCGGCCGAUGGUACUAUGCUGGAGACGGCAUGGGAGAGCAGGUGGGUGCCA
Molecule: ribosomal RNA, 113 nt
Filed under: Carnobacterium sp. N15.MGS-251
Lineage: Bacteria; Bacillati; Bacillota; Bacilli; Lactobacillales; Carnobacteriaceae
Source: RNAcentral